Molecule: ribosomal RNA, 537 nt
Filed under: uncultured bacterium
Lineage: Bacteria
Description: bacterial SSU rRNA
Rfam family: Bacterial small subunit ribosomal RNA
Source: RNAcentral
CAGCCAUGCCGCGUGUGUGAAGAAGGCCUUUUGGUUGUAAAGCACUUUAAGCGAGGAGGAGGCUACCUAGAUUAAUACUCUGGGAUAGUGGACGUUACUCGCAGAAUAAGCACCGGCUAACUCUGUGCCAGCAGCCGCGGUAAUACAGAGGGUGCGAGCGUUAAUCGGAUUUACUGGGCGUAAAGCGUGCGUAGGCGGCUGAUUAAGUCGGAUGUGAAAUCCCUGAGCUUAACUUAGGAAUUGCAUUCGAUACUGGUCAGCUAGAGUAUGGGAGAGGAUGGUAGAAUUCCAGGUGUAGCGGUGAAAUGCGUAGAGAUCUGGAGGAAUACCGAUGGCGAAGGCAGCCAUCUGGCCUAAUACUGACGCUGAGGUACGAAAGCAUGGGGAGCAAACAGGAUUAGAUACCCUGGUAGUCCAUGCCGUAAACGAUGUCUACUAGCCGUUGGGGUCUUUGAGGCUUUAGUGGCGCAGCUAACGCGAUAAGUAGACCGCCUGGGGAGUACGGUCGCAAGACUAAAACUCAAAUGAAUUGACGGA